UACGUAGGGUGCAAGCGUUAAUCGGAAUUACUGGGCGUAAAGCGUGCGCAGGCGGUUCGUUAAGUUCGUUGUGAAAGCCCCGGGCUCAACCUGGGAAUGGCAUUGGAGACUGGCGGGCUUGAGUGUGGCAGAGGGGGGUGGAAUUCCGCGUGUAGCAGUGAAAUGCGUAGAGAUGCGGAGGAACACCGAUGGCGAAGGCAGCCCCCUGGGCUGACACUGACGCUCAGGCACGAAAGUGUGGGGAGCGAACAGG
RNAcentral lists this ribosomal RNA (253 nucleotides) under uncultured bacterium. Its description in RNAcentral is "partial 16S ribosomal RNA". It matches the Rfam family "Bacterial small subunit ribosomal RNA", at positions 524 to 776 of the family's 1533-position model. The record is from RNAcentral.